This 368-nucleotide ribosomal RNA is filed under the name uncultured bacterium. RNAcentral describes it as "bacterial SSU rRNA". It matches the Rfam family "Bacterial small subunit ribosomal RNA", at positions 524 to 898 of the family's 1533-position model. The record is from RNAcentral.
UACGAGAGGGGCAAGCGUUAUUCGGAAUGAUUGGGCGUAAAGGGUUCGUAGGCGGCAAUUGCUGUUGUAAGUAAAAGUUUAGAUUUAUCUUUAAAAAAGCUUAUAAUACUCUUUUGCUUGAGUUUAGAAGAGGAUAAUAGAAUUUCAUACAUAGGGGUAAAAUCCAAAAAUUAUUGAAGGAAUGUCAGUGGCGAAGGCGAUUAUCUGGGCUAAGACUGACGCUGAGGAACGAAAGCGUAGGGAGCAAACAGGAUUAGAUACCCUGGUAGUCUACGCUGUCAAAUAUGAGUGUUAAUAUUGGGUAGUCUAUCCGGUAUACAGUUAACACGUUAAACACUCCGCCUGGGAAGUACGAUCGCAAGAUUGGA